Molecule: long non-coding RNA, 527 nt
Filed under: Rattus norvegicus (Norway rat)
Lineage: Eukaryota; Metazoa; Chordata; Mammalia; Rodentia; Muridae
Description: long non-coding RNA NONRATT030996
Source: RNAcentral
UCUCAUUAGAUGCUGUGAUACAUUUCAUAAAAUUCAACACCCUUCAUGUUAAAAGUCUUGGAAACAGCAAGAAUUCAAGGUCCAUACCUAACCAUAGUAAAAGCAAUAUGCAGCAAACCAGUAGCCAACAUCAAACUAAGUGGAAACAUGAAUCACUAAAAUCAGGACUAGACAUGGCUGUAAACUUGCUUCUUACCUAUUCAAUAUAGUACUUGAAAUCCUAGGCAGUGCAUUCAGAAAACAAAAUGAAAUCAAGGGAAUACAGUUUGGAAAGUUAGAAGUCAAAACAUCACCAUGUGCAGAUGGUAUAAUACUAUAUUUAAGUGACCCCAAAAGUUCCAACAGAGAAGGACUAAAACUGAUAAACACCUUCAGCAAAAUGUUUAGAUAUAAAAUUAACCCAAACAAAUCAUUAGCCUUCCUCUACUCAAAGGACAAACUGGCUGAGAAAGAAAUUAGGGAAAUGACACCCUUCAAAUAGUCACAAAUAAUAUAAAAUACCUCAGUGUGACACUAAACAAGCAAGA